GGAAGUGAGGGCGAUCUGGCGGCGACAUCUGUCACCCCAUUGAUCGCCAGGGUUGAUUCGGCUGAUCUGGCUGGCUAGGCGGGUGUCCCCUUCCUCCCUCACCGCUCCAUGUGCGUCCCUCCCGAAGCUGCGUGCUUGGUUGAAGAGGACGACCUUCCCCGAUAGAAGGAAGACCGUUCUUCGGUCAAGGGUAUAUACUUUUGACUUGCCCUUGUUUGUUACUGGUUUUUUAAAAUUUUUGUUUCAAGAAAAUGUGUACUAUUU
This 264-nucleotide small RNA is filed under the name Echinops telfairi (small Madagascar hedgehog). Its description in RNAcentral is "7SK RNA (ENSETEG00000020565.1)". It matches the Rfam family "7SK RNA". From Rfam's summary of the family: 7SK was discovered as an abundant small nuclear RNA in the mid-70s but a possible function has only recently been suggested. Two independent studies have found that 7SK RNA binds the CDK9/cyclin T complex (known as elongation factor P-TEFb). P-TEFb activates transcription by phosphorylating the C-terminal domain of RNA polymerase II. The record is from RNAcentral. Lineage: Eukaryota; Metazoa; Chordata; Mammalia; Afrosoricida; Tenrecidae.